RNAcentral lists this ribosomal RNA (864 nucleotides) under Cystolepiota sp. RNAcentral's name for it is "partial large subunit ribosomal RNA". It matches the Rfam family "Eukaryotic large subunit ribosomal RNA", at positions 77 to 922 of the family's 3401-position model. Lineage: Eukaryota; Fungi; Basidiomycota; Agaricomycetes; Agaricales; Agaricaceae. The record is from RNAcentral.
CCCCUAGUAACUGCGAGUGAAGCGGGAAAAGCUCAAAUUUGAAAUCUGGCGGUCUCUGGCCGUCCGAGUUGUAAUCUAGAGAAGUGUUACCCGCGCUGGACCGUGUACAAGUCUCCUGGAAUGGAGCGUCAUAGAGGGUGAGAAUCCCGUCUCUGACACGGACUACCAGGGCUUUGUGGUAUGCUCUCAAAGAGUCGAGUUGUUUGGGAAUGCAGCUCAAAAUGGGUGGUAAAUUCCAUCUAAAGCUAAAUAUUGGCGAGAGACCGAUAGCGAACAAGUACCGUGAGGGAAAGAUGAAAAGAACUUUGGAAAGAGAGUUAAACAGUACGUGAAAUUGCUGAAAGGGAAACGCUUGAAGUCAGUCGCGUUGGCCGGGGAUCAGCCAUGCCUGUAAAAAGGCUUGGUGUAUUUUCCGGUUGACGGGUCAGCAUCAAUUUUGAUCGCUGGAAAAAGGUUAGAGGAAUGUGGCAGCUUCGGCUGUGUUAUAGCCUCUGGUCACAUACAGCGGUUGGGAUUGAGGAACUCAGCACGCCGAAAGGCCGGGUUUCGACCACGUUCGUGCUUAGGAUGCUGGCAUAAUGGCUUUAAGCGACCCGUCUUGAAACACGGACCAAGGAGUCUAACAUGCCUGCGAGUGUUUGGGUGGUAAACCCGAGCGCGUAAUGAAAGUGAAAGUUGAGAUCCCUGUCGUGGGGAGCAUCGACGCCCGGACCAGAACUUUUGGGACGGAUCCGCGGUAGAGCAUGUAUGUUGGGACCCGAAAGAUGGUGAACUAUGCCUGAAUAGGGUGAAGCCAGAGGAAACUCUGGUGGAGGCUCGUAGCGAUUCUGACGUGCAAAUCGAUCGUCAAAUUUGGGUAUAGGG